This 301-nucleotide ribosomal RNA is filed under the name uncultured bacterium. RNAcentral's name for it is "partial 16S ribosomal RNA". It matches the Rfam family "Bacterial small subunit ribosomal RNA", at positions 509 to 808 of the family's 1533-position model. The record is from RNAcentral.
CAGUAGCGCGGGAAUACGGAGGGAGCUAGCGUUGUUCGGAAUUACCGGGCGUAAAGCGCGCGUAGGCGGUUACUCAAGUCAGAGGUGAAAGCCCGGGGCUCAACCCCGGAACUGCCUUUGAAACUAGGUGACUAGAAUCUUGGAGAGGUCAGUGGAAUUCCGAGUGUAGAGGUGAAAUUCGUAGAUAUUCGGAAGAACACCAGUGGCGAAGGCGACUGACUGGACAAGUAUUGACGCUGAGGUGCGAAAGCGUGGGGAGCAAACAGGAUUAGAUACCCCCGUAGUCCCUGUCUCUUAUACA